RNAcentral lists this transfer RNA (72 nucleotides) under Camelus bactrianus (Bactrian camel). It matches the Rfam family "tRNA". Rfam says of the family: Transfer RNA (tRNA) molecules are approximately 80 nucleotides in length. Lineage: Eukaryota; Metazoa; Chordata; Mammalia; Artiodactyla; Camelidae. RNAcentral also lists the same sequence under 1 other name. The record is from Rfam by way of RNAcentral.
GGUGGUCUAGCUCAGUGGUAGAGCACAUGCUUAGCAUGCAAGAGGUCCUGGGUUCAAUCCCCAGUACUUCCA